Molecule: transfer RNA, 66 nt
Filed under: Odoribacter laneus
Lineage: Bacteria; Pseudomonadati; Bacteroidota; Bacteroidia; Bacteroidales; Odoribacteraceae
Also listed under: 3 other names
Rfam family: tRNA
About the family: Transfer RNA (tRNA) molecules are approximately 80 nucleotides in length. Their secondary structure includes four short double-helical elements and three loops (D, anti-codon, and T loops).
Source: RNAcentral
CAGUAGCUCAGCUGGAUAGAGCAACGGCCUUCUAAGCCGUAGGUCGUGGGUUCGAAUCCCGCCUGG